This 252-nucleotide ribosomal RNA is filed under the name uncultured bacterium. RNAcentral describes it as "partial 16S ribosomal RNA". It matches the Rfam family "Bacterial small subunit ribosomal RNA", at positions 524 to 776 of the family's 1533-position model. The record is from RNAcentral.
UACGUAGGUCCCGAGCGUUGUCCGGCUUUAUUGGGCGUAAAGCGAGCGCAGGUGGUUUAUUAAGUCUGGUGUAAAAGGCAGUGGCUCAACCAUUGUAUGCAUUGGAAACUGGUAGACUUGAGUGCAGGAGAGGAGAGUGGAAUUCCAUGUGUAGCGGUGAAAUGCGUAGAUAUAUGGAGGAACACCGGUGGCGAAAGCGGCUCUCUGGCCUGUAACUGACACUGAGGCUCGAAAGCGUGGGGAGCAAACAGG